ACACUCCUACGGGAGGCAGCAGUGGGGAAUAUUGCACAAUGGGCGCAAGCCUGAUGCAGCCAUGCCGCGUGUAUGAAGAAGGCCUUCGGGUUGUAAAGUACUUUCAGCGGGGAGGAAGGCGAUAAGGUUAAUAACCUUGUCGAUCGACGUUACCCGCAGAAGAAGCACCGGCUAACUCCGUGCCAGCAGCCGCGGUAAUACGGAGGGUGCAAGCGUUAAUCGGAAUUACUGGGCGUAAAGCGCACGCAGGCGGGCUGUCAAGUCGGAUGUGAACGCCCCGGGCUCAACCUGGGAACUGCAUUCGAAACUGGCAGGCUAGAGUCUUGUAGAGGGGGGUAGAAUUCCAGGUGUAGCGGUGAAAUGCGUAGAGAUCUGGAGGAAUACCGGUGGCGAAGGCGGCCCCCUGGACAAAGACUGACGCUCAGGUGCGAAAGCGUGGGGAGCAAACAGGAUUAGAUACCCCGGUAGUCCCA
This 473-nucleotide ribosomal RNA is filed under the name uncultured organism. RNAcentral's name for it is "partial 16S ribosomal RNA". It matches the Rfam family "Bacterial small subunit ribosomal RNA", at positions 333 to 797 of the family's 1533-position model. The record is from RNAcentral.